GAUGAACGCUGGCGGCGUGCCUAAUACAUGCAAGUAGAGCGAAGCGGGGACGGGUGAGUAACACGUGGAUAACCCCCCAUAAGACUGGGAUAACUUCGGGAAACCGUAGCUAAACCGGAUACUUAAAGAUGGAUCCGCGCUGCAUUAGCUAUUUGCUAAGGUAACGGCUUACCAAGGCAACGAUGCAUAGCCGACCUGAGAGGGUGUUGGGCCAUACUGUGACGGAGACUCGGUCCAGACUACUACGUGGCGAAGCAGUAGGGUAUCUGCCGCAAUGGGCGAAAGGCUGACAGAGCAACGCCGCGUGAGUGAUGAAGGUGUUCGGAUCGUAAACCUCUGUUAUUAGGGAAGCGGGACCUAAUCAGAAAGCCACGGCUAACUACGUGCCAGCAGCCGCGGUAAGUC
This 405-nucleotide ribosomal RNA is filed under the name uncultured bacterium. Its description in RNAcentral is "partial 16S ribosomal RNA". It matches the Rfam family "Bacterial small subunit ribosomal RNA", at positions 28 to 526 of the family's 1533-position model. The record is from RNAcentral.